GUAAUUCCGGUGAAGAUGCCGGAUACCUGCGACAGGACGGAAAGACCCCAUGGAGCUUUACUGUAGCUUGACAUUGGGUCUUGGUACUACAUGUACAGGAUAGGUGGGAGGCUUUGAAACCAGGACGCCAGUUUUGGCGGAGCCAUCCUUGGGAUACCACCCUUGUAGUACUGGGACUCUAACCAUCGGCCAUGAAUCUGGUCUUGGGACACUGUCAGGUGGGCAGUUUGACUGGGGCGGUCGCCUCCCAAAAGGUAACGGAGGCGCUCAAAGGUUCUCUCAGUACGGUCGGAAAUCGUACGUAGAGUGUAAAGGCAAAAGAGAGCUUGAUUGCAAGACAUACAGGUCGAGCAAGGAUGAAAAUCGGACUUAGUGAUCCGGUGGUUCUGCGUGGAAGGGCCAUCGCUCAACGGAUAAAAGCUACCCUGGGGAUAACAGGCUUAUCUCCCCCAAGAGUCCACAUCGACGGGGAGGUUUGGCACCUCGAUGUCGGCUCAUCACAUCCUGGGGCUGUAGUAGGUCCCAAGGGUUGGGCUGUUCGCCCAUUAAAGUGGUACGCGAGCUGGGUUCAGAACGUCGUGAGACAGUUCGGUCCCUAUCCGUCGCAGGCGUAGGAAAUUUGAGAAG
This 627-nucleotide ribosomal RNA is filed under the name Clostridioides difficile. RNAcentral describes it as "bacterial LSU rRNA". It matches the Rfam family "Bacterial large subunit ribosomal RNA", at positions 2044 to 2669 of the family's 2925-position model. The record is from RNAcentral. Lineage: Bacteria; Bacillati; Bacillota; Clostridia; Peptostreptococcales; Peptostreptococcaceae.